UGUGUAUAUCCUGCAAUCCAGUCACACC
This 28-nucleotide non-coding RNA is filed under the name Rattus norvegicus (Norway rat). The record is from RNAcentral. Lineage: Eukaryota; Metazoa; Chordata; Mammalia; Rodentia; Muridae.